UGGGGAAUAUUGGACAAUGGGCGCAAGCCUGAUCCAGCCAUGCCGCGUGAGUGACGAAGGCCUUAGGGUUGUAAAGCUCUUUUGGCGGGGACGAUAAUGACGGUACCCGCAGAAUAAGCUCCGGCUAACUUCGUGCCAGCAGCCGCGGUAAUACGAAGGGAGCUAGCGUUGUUCGGAAUCACUGGGCGUAAAGCGCACGUAGGCGGAUUAUUAAGUCAGGGGUGAAAUCCCGGGGCUCAACCUCGGAACUGCCUCUGAUACUGAUAGUCUCGAGUCCGGAAGAGGUGGGUGGAAUUCCUAGUGUAGAGGUGAAAUUCGUAGAUAUUAGGAAGAACACCGGUGGCGAAGGCGGCCCACUGGUCCGGUACUGACGCUGAGGUGCGAAAGCGUGGGGAGCAAACAGGAUUAGAUACCCUAGUAGUCCCUGAGCGGGCUGGCAAGGCGCAU
Molecule: ribosomal RNA, 447 nt
Filed under: uncultured bacterium
Lineage: Bacteria
Description: bacterial SSU rRNA
Rfam family: Bacterial small subunit ribosomal RNA
Source: RNAcentral